GUAUUCCAUACGGAAUACAUAUACUAAAAUUGGAACGAUACAGAGAAGAUUAGCAUGGCCCCUGCGCAAGGAUGACACGCAAGAUUAGCAUGGCCCCUGCGCAAGGAUGACACGCAAAAUCGUGAAGCGUUCCACAUUUUU
This 141-nucleotide small nuclear RNA is filed under the name Daphnia pulex (common water flea). The record is from RNAcentral. Lineage: Eukaryota; Metazoa; Arthropoda; Branchiopoda; Diplostraca; Daphniidae.